GACGAACGCUGGCGGCGUGCUUAACACAUGCAAGUCGAACGAAGAGCGAUGGAAGCUUGCUUCUAUCAAUCUUAGUGGCGAACGGGUGAGUAACGCGUAAUCAACCUGCCCUUCAGAGGGGGACAACAGUUGGAAACGACUGCUAAUACCGCAUACGAUCUGACCUCGGCAUCGAGGAUAGAUGAAAGGUGGCCUCUACAUGUAAGCUAUCACUGAAGGAGGGGAUUGCGUCUGAUUAGCUAGUUGGAGGGGUAACGGCCCACCAAGGCGAUGAUCAGUAGCCGGUCUGAGAGGAUGAACGGCCAUAUUGGGACUGAGACACGGCCCAGACUCCUACGGGAGGCAGCAGUGGGGAAUCUUCCGCAAUGGACGAAAGUCUGACGGAGCAACGCCGCGUGAGUGAUGACGGCCUUCGGGUUGUAAAGCUCUGUUAAUCGGGACGAAAGGCCUUUUUGCGAAUAGUGAGAAGGAUUGACGGUACCGGAAUAGAAAGCCACGGCUAACUACGUG
Molecule: ribosomal RNA, 510 nt
Filed under: uncultured bacterium
Lineage: Bacteria
Description: partial 16S ribosomal RNA
Rfam family: Bacterial small subunit ribosomal RNA
Source: RNAcentral